UGCGGAUUGGUGCGGCGUGUUCGUUGGGAAAGGCGGAGCCGGCAGCUCAGCGCCGGAGCCACGACACCGACGCAGGGAUGGGAACGAAGAGCUGGUGCCAGGAAGCCUGUUGAAACUGCGUCAGCGGUGAUCAGCUGCACAGUGAAAGCUCCGCUAACACGGGCCAGUGGCGCAAUGGAUAACGCGUCUGACUACGGAUCAGAAGAUUCUAGGUUCGACUCCUGGCUGGCUCGGCGUGUGCUCUUUUGCGACGUUUGUGUUUGAUAGGGAAGGGUCCUUAGAAAAGAAUUAUGAGUAAAAACUGUGAAGGUCAAAGUCUUGAAUUGCCCCAUGAAACUCUCUUUUAAGCCGUGUUUGAAACCUAAAGCUGUCUGAAAUGGUUUGCAAAUUGGAGAGCGCCCUCAUCUUAAAUGAUGCACACGAGGAAUCCUGGUUCCCAGAUACGAGACCUGAGAAGGCCCAAAACGUUUGCGGCAGCAGGGAGCCUUGAACCCCCGGAGUGGCUGCCUUGAACACUGUAUGAACCAAUUACUCCACGAUCAAUUAAUUUCUCCCAUCAUAACGUUGUUUCCCCCUGAGGAAAUUAUAGGAAAAAAAAAAGUAAAAUACAGAAAAUUAUUGAGAAUAAAAAUAAGGCGGGGGCUGGGGAUGUAGCUCAGUGGUAUCGUGGCUGCUUAAACAUACAACCAAGGCACCAAAAAUAAAUAAAGCAAAUUCCUACUCUGUGA
Ictidomys tridecemlineatus (thirteen-lined ground squirrel) is the source of this 728-nucleotide non-coding RNA. Lineage: Eukaryota; Metazoa; Chordata; Mammalia; Rodentia; Sciuridae. The record is from RefSeq and is a predicted model, not a curated record.